CGGAGGGCAGGGCAGGGCCGGCUCCGCCGCGGGCUAGGCGCGCGGCCUCCCGGUCGCCAGCCCGCGUGCCCCCGCCCGGACGUCGCGGGUGGCUCGGAGGCGAAGCCCGGCCGUACCGGGAGACGGUUAAGGGGGUCCCGACCCUCGGGACGAGGGCUGUCCGCGGGUGAGACUCAAACGCUAGCAGCCAGAGAAGAUAACCCCAAAGAAACACCUCUCCCAUCCAGGAGAUGGACUGAACCCAAAUCAGUUAUCCAGAGGAAUGGAUUUCAGGGUGUAAUGACACAGGCCUAUCCAUAGUCCUAUCACUGGGAAAGUUGAGGCAAGAAGAUGAAGACUUCAAGAUCAUUGUCGGCUACAUAACAACAGAAGAGGGUGUUGGAUCUUCCUGUACUGGGGUUAGAGACAUGAAGCCCCAGUUGAUGCUGGGAAUCAAAUCCUUGUCUUCAGGAUGGCCAGUCAGCUUCUUAACAACUGAACCAUCUAGAUCCAGAUCCAGCCAGUCAACUGUAAUGUUGAUUGAUUCUAUGAAUCCGUAUACUGCUCAAGGAGAGCACAAACUGUCUCUUGCCGAAAUUGUGACAUCGACAAUUCUGUCUUCCAAAACCAUCUCCCUUUUUUCUUCUAU
This is a long non-coding RNA of Mastomys coucha (southern multimammate mouse), 628 nucleotides long. RefSeq lists it as uncharacterized. The transcript is spliced from 3 exons. Lineage: Eukaryota; Metazoa; Chordata; Mammalia; Rodentia; Muridae. The record is from RefSeq and is a predicted model, not a curated record.